This 23-nucleotide microRNA is filed under the name Echinops telfairi (small Madagascar hedgehog). Lineage: Eukaryota; Metazoa; Chordata; Mammalia; Afrosoricida; Tenrecidae. The record is from RNAcentral.
UGAAUAAUACAUGGAUAACCUCU